GAUGAACGCUGGCGGCGUGCUUAACACAUGCAAGUCGAACGGAAAGGCCCAAGCUUGCUUGGGUACUCGAGUGGCGAACGGGUGAGUAACACGCGGGUGAACUGCCCUGCACUUCGGGAUAAGCCUGGGAAACUGGGUCUAAUACCGGAUAGGACGAUGGGUUGGAUGCCAUUGUGGAAAGUUUUUGCGGUGUGGGAUGAGCUCGCGGCCUAUCAGCGUGUUGGUGGGGUAUUGGCCUACCAAGGCGUCGACGGGUAGCCGGCCUGAGAGGGUGUAGGGCCACAUUGGGACUGAGCGGCGGCCCAGACUCCUACGGGAGGCAGCAGGGGGGAAUAUUGCACAAUGGGCGCAAGCCUGAUGGAGCGACGCCGCGUGGGGGAUGACGGCCUUCGGGUUGUAAGCUCCUUUCGCUAGGGACGAGGCGUUUUUGUGACGGUACCUGGAGAAGAAGCACCGGCUAACUACGUG
This 468-nucleotide ribosomal RNA is filed under the name uncultured bacterium. Its description in RNAcentral is "partial 16S ribosomal RNA". It matches the Rfam family "Bacterial small subunit ribosomal RNA", at positions 28 to 507 of the family's 1533-position model. The record is from RNAcentral.